Molecule: ribosomal RNA, 265 nt
Filed under: uncultured bacterium
Lineage: Bacteria
Description: partial 16S ribosomal RNA
Rfam family: Bacterial small subunit ribosomal RNA
Source: RNAcentral
CCCGCGGCCUAUCAGCUUGUUGGUGGGGUAAUGGCUUACCAAGGCGACGACGGGUAGCCGGCCUGAGAGGGUGACCGGCCACACUGGGACUGAGAUACGGCCCAGACUCCUACGGGAGGCAGCAGUGGGGAAUAUUGCACAAUGGGCGCAAGCCUGAUGCAGCGACGCCGCGUGAGGGAUGACGGCCUUCGGGUUGUAAACCUCUUUCAAUAGGGACGAAGCGCAAGUGACGGUACCUAUAGAAGAAGGACCGGCCAACUACGUG